UUUUCCUCCAUAGAAGACCUAAAAUACAUUUUCCUCUCCAACUACAUUUCUAGGUACUUUGCAUCAUGUAUUUUCAUAGCUCCAGGCAGACUGCUUGUUUGGGAUUUUGGUUCUCCUGGCUGGUUCACCUUCAUUUUCUCAUUGCGGGUUCUUCCCUCCACUUCCUUCUGAAGGUGAUCUGGACAAAUGUACACCUGAUUAGUUGAUCCAGAAAAUUCUGCUUGCUCAUCACCAGCAAUGUUUACUUACCCUGCUCUCCAAACAAAACAGAACUUACUUUCAGCUUUUCAGACGCUAGACCUUUCCACUCAAACACUGGAGAAAACAGAACUGGCUGCAUGUUAUUCUGCAGGUUAGCCAUUUCAAGGCGAAAGGAAAAGGAGCUUUGGAGUUCAUCUCUAUUUGUGGAAAUUAACUCUCCAGAGGAGUUUUUGCAUAGAAAAUGAGAGGUUCCUCAUGAAACACCUCAGAGUCCUCCACUUCCAUGGUCUCCCACAAGCAAAGGUGCAGUCUUUAAGAAGCCAUUUCCAGAUUUGGUGUGAGUUUAACAGUGCAAGACAACACCC
This 566-nucleotide long non-coding RNA is filed under the name Junco hyemalis (dark-eyed junco). Its description in RNAcentral is "lncRNA (ENSJHYG00000013697.1)". The record is from RNAcentral. Lineage: Eukaryota; Metazoa; Chordata; Aves; Passeriformes; Passerellidae.